GAUGAAGAACGUAGCGAAACGCGAUAAGUAAUGUGAAUUGCAGAAUCCAGUGAAUCAUCGAAUCUUUGAACGCACAUUGCGCCCGCCAGCAUUCUGGCGGGCAUGCCUGUUCGAGCGUCAUUUCAACCCUCGACCUCCCCUUGGGGAGGUCGGCGUUGGGGACCGGCAGCACACCGCCGGCCCUGAAAUGGAGUGGCGGCCCGUCCGCGGCGACCUCUGCGCAGUAAUACAGCUCGCACCGGGACCCCGACGCGGCCACGCCGUAAAACACCCAACUUCUGAACGUUGACCUCGAAUCAGGUAGGACUACCCGCUGAACUUAAGCAUAUCAAAAGCGGAGGA
This 342-nucleotide unclassified non-coding RNA is filed under the name soil metagenome. RNAcentral describes it as "partial contains 5.8S ribosomal RNA, internal transcribed spacer 2, and large subunit ribosomal RNA". The stretch from base 1 to 120 matches the Rfam family "5.8S ribosomal RNA", at positions 35 to 154 of the family's 154-position model. The record is from RNAcentral.